CGGGGUCGGGAGAGGAUGAGCGAUCCGGCGUGGAGGGGGGUCACGUCCACAUUACCAAGGUUCUUCUGCGGGGCCAGGGGACUAUUGGCCUUUAGGGGAGGUAGCUGGUGACCCGUGUCCUCGCCCUUUAAGUUCCCCUGAGCGAAUCAGGGCGCCACCUACAGGCGAGAUCCAGAUAGCUGGAGGGAGAAAGGGAGACACGCCUGCAGUGUGGCUCCGUGGAAAACUGGGCCCUGUGGUUUUGUCCAGAGCCAUCUCUCAGCUCCUGAGUCUGAGAAGAAGGAACAUCAGUUCAGGAAGCUCAGGGGAGUCACCUGGAGCCAGGUCAUGGAGAGCACAGAUCUUCUGACUACACAUCCUGGUGCCUUCUGUUGCAUCGCAACUUAGGAUGGUCCCACUGGCUUUGGGGAACUUGAAAAAGUUAUCAAGAAAGGUCCAGCCAUGAUAUUUCUGCUUGCCAGUGCAUUAUCAAGAGCUCAGACUUUAACUGCGUUUCACCUCCAGCUUCUACACACUGAGAGUGUUUCUAAUAAUAUAAUAGAUUUCCAUUUUGAAACAGAUGCCGCAGGAGAUUCAUUAGCCGGAAAAAAUCCCAUCGUGUAACUAACACCAUAAAGUUAUCAAAUUUAAGGUCAGUCAGAUGGCUUUGGAUUGUCAGCGUUUGGGGACCAGUUGGUAAUAAGAUAAGAGGGCUUUGUGAGGGAAAACCAGUUGAAACCAACACAUAUUUGUGGAAUGCAUUUUAUGUGUUCUACUCUGUUCUAGGUGCUAACAGAGAUAUGGAGAAAUAUAGUUCACAUUCUAAGCUUUAAGGUACAAACUUUCCCCCCUCUCUAAUCCUCAGGUCCACACCUUAGUUCUGUCAUAAUAAAGUGAUGGGGUUAAUGUUCAAAGAACAUAUGACCUACCUCAAAUGUUGAGCUGUCAUAUUACCCUUCUGAAAUUAUUAUCUUCAUCCUAGAAUUUUAAUGUUAUUCCAUCAUCUUUGUGUAUAUUUAUAUAAAUGAAUAAAUUGAGAAAAGGCUUUAGGAAAGGUGAUACUAUAGUUUAUGGCCUCAUUUGACAUGGUCACACAGACAGUCAGACAAUUAAGUUUGCAAACUCAUCCUAGAAAAAAUGCUAUAUAUUUCAUUGCUGAAUAU
This is a long non-coding RNA of Hipposideros armiger (great roundleaf bat), 1142 nucleotides long. RefSeq lists it as uncharacterized. The transcript is spliced from 3 exons. Lineage: Eukaryota; Metazoa; Chordata; Mammalia; Chiroptera; Hipposideridae. The record is from RefSeq and is a predicted model, not a curated record.